Molecule: non-coding RNA, 73 nt
Organism: Rhincodon typus (whale shark)
Lineage: Eukaryota; Metazoa; Chordata; Chondrichthyes; Orectolobiformes; Rhincodontidae
Source: the annotation of a RefSeq genome assembly
GCCCGCCUAGCUCAGUCGGUAGGGCAUGAGAUUCUCAAUUUCACGGUUGUGGGUUCGAGCCCCACGCUGGGCA